AAUCUGCUGGAGUCUGGGAAAAGGGAACUGCUUGCUGCCUUUGGCACUCAUUGCGUUCUUGCUGUUCGGUUGUGUUGAUAUCUGGUCCCAGGUCAGUUUAGAAUUGUCAUGGAUGCUUCUGGCACUGAUUCCACCACCAGGCUUGCUUAAAGAAAGGUCGAAAGCAAAGCGGAGGGAGGCCAUGACUGGUUCCGACGCCUUUGGAAUUCCUGGCGAAGCCCGUGGGUUGCUGUGGGAAGCCUCCUCCCGUAAGAUGUAAAAUCAAUGGGACGCCGUGCCUUUGAUGGCCCCAACGAUGAAGGCCAAAAGCAAAGGGAUGAAACGACAGAGGAGAGUCACCGACGAGGACCACGUGUGCCAAGAAACUGCCCAGAGCAAAGACGGACUUCUGAAACAUUCGCGGCGCAAAGAGACGAGGACUAACGAGAGCUCGAAGGCCACCUCCAGGGCUGCGAAACCCUCUUGGAGUAGUAAAGACAGGCGCUUGCGAAGGCUGGAGAGCAACGAGCGGGAACGCCAACGGAUGCACAAACUCAACAAUGCCUUCCAGGCUUUGAGGGAGGUCAUCCCUCACGUUCGGGCUGAGAACAAGCUCUCCAAGAUUGAGACUCUCACCUUGGCCAAGAACUACAUUAAAUCCCUCACCUCCACCAUCCUCAGCAUGUCGAACGGACACUUCUCCGCCAUUGAAGGCGGUGGUCCGGAUCCUGGCAGCAGGUCCAAACUGUACGAACACUAUCAGCAGCAAUGCGGGGAGGAAGACGAGUCGGUGGAGCAGCUUCAGAAAUACUCCACCCAGAUUCACAGUUUUAGGCAAGGGAGCUAAAGGGUGCUCAACGGUGCCCGGUCCACAUGUAUUGUUCCUUUUAAAAAAGGACAAAAUUAGCCAAGAAACCAACCUGUGAAUUUUCUCUAGAUUUCUCCUCUUCCCUAUAAGCUUUGGGAGGUGGGGCAUUUUCUUGCUCCUGGAUUGCUUAAGAGCAAGAUUUCAGUGAUCUGAUAAAUAAGAUGCAAAAAAGGUUUUGCAACAAGAUGGUGUCCGCUUCUCCAGCAGGUCACUUUUCCUGUUGCCCACCCCUCACCAAUUUUCAAAGUUUCGUUCUAGGUGGACAUUCAUUCUCAGUGCUCUGGGGCUGCUGAAAUGCUCAGUUCUCUGUCGUUUUUUUUUUCUUCUUGGCGAGCAGAGAGAGUGAGCCCUCCCUUAUUCUAAUGGGUGUGUUUUAAAACUCUGCCAACAGGAGUUCUCAGGAUGAGAGUAAUCCCUCAAUCUCAGUGAGAUCAGCCGUCCUUUUCAAUAAUCCCAGGCUGCUUCUUUUUCUGUUGACCCCGAGUUUGCUGUUAGGAAGAUUUUGCAGGAUAGGUUUCCUCCAUGAUGAUGGCCUGCAUGCACCAGUGGGGCAAGUUGAGAGUAAAUGCAAGGCAGAGCGCCAAAGCAGGCCAGGGAUUUGAAGCGCAGCGCAGGUUUGAGGUUGCAGUUCUAUAUAUUGUGCUGGGAAUAAGUGCUGAAGCUCUCAGCAUAUCGGACAGCAUUAGUUUACUAUAAUGUCGUUUUCCAGGGGGAGGGUAACUGGUCCUUUCUUCUCUCCCCGCUUGAAAGGAGUUACGUUUGCUUAGAUUUGAGCCCAUAGGAGGAGAGACCUCCUUUUUUUAAGUCCAUGUGCUAUGAUGCUUUGUGGUUCAAAAAGAAACAGGUUUCUCUUUUUGCCUUGCAAAAGAAAGUCCAUCAUGAAUGCAAAAGAAGGCGUUUUGAUAGAACUAAAGGUCACAUAGGGUUAGAUGCCAUUUAUGCAGUUAGCAAUUGUGUAAAUAUCUUUUGAAUAAGUAAUCGGUUGGAGUAGGGAGACUUAUUCCUAGGGUGACCCUUUUGUAUGGUGAAGAAGGCAGGAAAAAAAGGGGGAGUGUAACACUGUAUAUCCUUCUUAUCGGGAUUGGGGCCAUCUUCCUGUAAAAAAUUGGUUAGACUCCAACUCUCAACAAGCCAUGUUGUUUUUCUGCGUUGUCAAGUCAUCUCUGGCUUCUGGCAACCCUGUGAAUGAGCCAUCUGUUCAGCUUUUGGGAGACUCAAGCCUGUGGCUUCAUUUAAGGAGUCAGCCCAUCCUUGUCUUUGACAGUCCUCUUUUCCUACUGCCUUCCACCUUUCCAAGCAUGAUGUGGCCAAAGUAGGACAGCCUCAGUUUUAAUACUUUUGCCUCCAGAAGUAGUUCAGGCUUAAUUCGAUCGAAGGCCUGCUUGUUUGUUUUUUCUGGCAGUCCAGGGUCUCCGCACCACUAGCAAUGUCCACAUCUGGGGCCAAAAUUAGAGCCACAUGGCUAGUUGUGGUUCUAAAUUAACCUAGGGAAGUCUUCCCUAUUUUAUCCUUUGUUCUGGGAAUAUUUUGCCCCUACACUUUUUUGGGAACCCUAAGUGGCCGCCCUGGGUUGGUGUAUAGCAGCAUUGUAUGUUCUGCUCAUGAUGUUAUAAGUUUCAGACUUCAUCACCGGUGUAAGCGUACAUCCACAGCAUGGGCUGAAUGUAUGAUAGUGUUGAAGUGUUUAACUGCAUCUAGCUGCGCUGUUAUAAAUUGUAAAUAAUAGCAGUCGUGUUAAUAACUAACCCCGAGAACCUUUUUUUAGCAGCUUUUGCGAUUAGAAAAGAAAUUGAGAUUUUGUUGUAUAUUUAAACUCUUUGAAUUGAGGCCGUGAUUGGUUAAAAUUGAUCUGGAAUCAAAAUGAAAAAACAAUUUAUACUCCUGUGAAAUGCAAUUAAAGAAAAUCAAAGGAAAUAAUAA
Non-coding RNA from Pogona vitticeps (central bearded dragon), 2767 nucleotides. NCBI's taxonomy places the organism in Eukaryota, Metazoa, Chordata, Lepidosauria, Squamata, Agamidae. The record is from RefSeq and is a predicted model, not a curated record.